GUUCAACGACAGAUGUAGACAAAAUGCAGUUAUGUCUGCAAACUAACCUAAAACCGAUUUGUAGUUUCAGGAUCAACUUCUGUGAAAUAUAGCGUAGGCAUCAUUGCUGGGGCUUUGCUUGGAUCCCUCACCUGGGCCAGCAGUCUAUCCCUUGUGCCGCUGCUCUUUGGCAUGUUGUCACUAUUCUCCCCUGAAUGCUGAAUUUGGAAGCCAUUCCUUCUUUCGUGAAAGAUGUUUCUAGAGAAGACAAACAGAAGUUAUCUUCCAUCUGCGUGUGUAAAGCUGAACAGUUCUGUGCUUAGAUAUUAAUCUUGAUCUGAUGCUGAUUUCUUUUGAAGCUCAACUUUGACCCAAACUGUAUAUUAGCUUACUUUGUUUCUGUUUAUAUGAACAAAACCUAAGUCAUUCUCAACUUUUAAAACGUGAGAAUGUUUGCAACAUACAAAACAGCUAAGAAAUAAAUCUAGGAGUCAAAAAAAAAAAAAGGAUGGC
RNAcentral lists this long non-coding RNA (492 nucleotides) under Notechis scutatus (mainland tiger snake). RNAcentral's name for it is "lncRNA (ENSNSUG00000009961.1)". Lineage: Eukaryota; Metazoa; Chordata; Lepidosauria; Squamata; Elapidae. The record is from RNAcentral.